CAGUGAGAUGCUGGCCUCUGUCCCACGUGUCCCCGUGGCUGUCGUCCGGGGUGCCACCAUGUAAAAUUACCACACUUUAUUCAUUCAUCCUCCUGUGUACACAGUCUGCUUCCAAGGUUUAGCUAUUACUCAUUGUGCUGCUGUGUACAUGCAUGCGAGUGUCACACUGUGAUGUGAUGUCUUUAACUGUUUCAAGAAGGACAAUAGCUGGAUUCAGUAGGAUUUCCUUUUUUUUUUUGUAUCAGGAAUCCAACUCAGGACCUUGCACUUGCCGGACAGGCAUUAUACUGCUGAGCUCUAGCCCUGGCCUGGAUAGAAUUUCUACUUUUCAUUGUUUGAGGAAUUUCCUCAAUGGUUGUAGUAGUUUACACUCCACCCCCAACGUAGAAAGUUUCCUUUUUCCCCUGUAGCCUCGCCAUCAUUUGUUCCAUUUGAUGUCUUUGGGUGGUAGCCAUUCUUUCUAGACUAAGGUACAAUCUCAGUGUUUUUGUUUUUGUUUUUUGUUCUUGUUUAUUUUUUGAGACAGGAUUUCACUGUGUAUUUCAAAUUGCAACAAUUCUCCUGCCUCAGCCUCGAAAAUGCUGAGAUUACAGGUGUUUACCACCACACCCAAUUUCAGUGUAUUUUUUAAUUUGCAUUUAUCUAAAGGCCUGAGAUGCUGAACAUUUUAAAAUGUUUUUAUUCCAUUUGUAUGGCUUCCUCUGUGACAUGUCUAUUUUGGAUGCCUAUUUUUUGAUUGGGUCUUUUAUUUUGGGGAGGGGCUCUUAAUUUUUUUAAGUUCUUUAUGUAUUCUAGAUAUCAGUCCUCUGUCAGAGAAAUAGGUGGCAAAAUUUUUUUCCCAUUCCAUAGGUUGUCUUUUCACUCUGUUGGUUGCUUCCUUUGCUGUUCAAAAGCUUUUUAAUUUGGUGUGAGUUCAAGUGCUGAUUCUUUGUAUCAUUUUAUGUGUAGUUGGGUUCUGUCCAGAGUCUUUGCCUUCCCUUCUGUCUGUAAGAGUUUUGUCUGUUUUUGAGUGUUUCUGUUCUAACUUGUAGAUCUUUGAUCAGUUUUGAUUUUAGUUUUAGUGCAUGGUGAAGCUGUGGGUCUGCAUGUGGGUGCUAGUUUCCCAGCACUGUUUAUUAAAGAGGCUGUCUGUUCUUCACUGUAUGUUUUGGCUUCUUUCUCAGAGAUCAGGCGGUCGAAUGUGUCCAGGGUUGUUCCUGCACCCUGUCUUCUGUUCCAUUGAUCCAUGUUUUUGUGCAAGUAUUUUCCCUUUUUUUUGAGACAGGGUCCAAUAAUGCUUUUUUUUUUUUUUGUCUUUUUCCUUUUUAUCGGUACCAGAGAUCGAACUCAUGACUGCCUGCUUGCAAGGCAGGCGCUUAUGCCGCUGAGCUAAAUCCCCAGCCCCAAUAAUGCUUUUUAUUGCAAAAGAUUUCACAGUGCUCAAUGUGUUGAUUUACCAUGUUUGCUUAGUUUUCUUUUGUGAAAAUAGUUUCUGUGAUUUGUGUUUCAUGCCUUAUGGCCUUUGAAGAGCACAGGCCAGUAAUUUUUUUCAAUCAUUCACUGGACAAAUGUCUGAUGUUUCCUUGUAAUUACAUUUAGGUCAUACACUUUUGGCUUGAACACCACAGAAGUGAGAUUGUAUUUUUUUUUUUUUUUUUUUUUUUUUUUGUGGUACCCGGGAUCGAACUCAUGACUUCAUGCUUACCAGGCAGGCGCUUACACCACUGAGCUAAAUCCCCAGCCUGAGAUUGUAUUCUUAGUGAGAUUUACAAUUGAUUUUGUGUAUUGACUUUGUAUCUUGUGGUUAUUUACUAGUGUGUUUAUUUAUCAGUUUUCAUUUUGUUUUGUAGUACUGGGGAUUGAGUCCAGGGUCUUUGCACUGAGCUACAUUCCCAGUACCACCCCUUCUUGUACAUUUUGAGACAGGGUCUUGAGAAGUUACCCAGGCUGGAUUUGAGUUUGAGAUCUUCCUGCCUCAGCCUCCCAGUGUGUUGGGAUUACAGGUGUAUGCCACAGUGCCUGGUUACUUACUAAUUCUUUUUUUUGUUACUGGAAAUCAAACUCAUGACUUUGUGCUUGCCAGGCAGGUACAACUUACUGAUUCUUGCGGUUUGUGUAAACCCCUUGGGAUUUUCUGCAGAGACAGUCAUGCUAACUGUGUAUAAAUACAUUUUCCUUCCUUUCCAGUCUAUAUACUUCUCUUUAGUUUUUCUUACCCUGUCACACUGACUCGCUCCUCCAGUCCAUGUGCUGAAGCAGCCAAAGCUGCACCCCCGCCCGCUUUCUGCGCUGGGGUGGGAGUGUCAAGUCUUUCACUAUUAGUUACCACAUUAGCGGCAGCUUGUUUUUGUCCUUAGGGAGGCUGAAACAGACCCUGUCUAUUCCUAAUUUGUUGAGAACUUUUUCUUCAUGAGCAUAUGUACGUUGAAUUUCAUCAAGUGUCUUUUCUGUUCUAUGAGGAACACUUGCUCAAAUGAGGCUUCCGAUAACAAAUGUUUCUGUUCUCAGGAUGACAUACAUUUACAGUCUUUGGGACUGUCAUGAAAAAGUUGUCUGCUCCUCUUGGAAAACAGAUUUCUGUUACAACUUCUGGCCAUGACUGAAGACUUUGGGGCUCAGGGCUUGGUGCCCCGCCACUCAGAACCUGGAAGAACCAAGAAGGACAAGGAAACAGGACAGCUGAGGAGCGCUCAAGACUGAUUUCACCUACAAAUUGAACCUGAAGGACAUGACAGCAGCUGCCAGCGCUGCUUUCUACAAAGUCAGCGUCCUUUCCUCCCUUACAGGAUUUGGGGUCAGGACAGACGAGAGAUUAAGGCUUGAAUUUUGGAUGCUUAAAGGCAGGGUAGGGUGGUACAAGUCUCACAGGCAGAGUGCUUUCCUCUUUAAGUGAACGGAGGAGGAGAUGCUCGAGGAAACCUGCCCCUCAGUGCAGGCAGAAAGUGCCACCCCAGUUUGCAUUAUCCUUUCAGUUUGUUCCCAGUGGUAAAUUCAGCGUCCCUGUCAGCUCAGAACCAGGCCUUUAACACACAGCCACAGUCAGCCAGGGAGAUAGCUUUCCUUCUGUGUAAUUUGCUUUGCCUUUUUUUGUUUCCUCUUUACAACCAGAGUCGGGCACAAAGAGAUACACAGUUAUGGCCUGAAAUUUUCUGAGCAAGAGACUUUUUUUUCUAAUUUUAUCAAUUUCUCCCAAUGUCAGUUAGAAAAGAGACUCAUAAGUAACAAAACACACAACUAGAAGCUGCUUACUGGAUAGGGAAACAGAUUUGUUCUUUCAUUUGGAGGGAGGUCAGGAAUGAGGCAGACCUGGAGCUGAUAGCGAAGCUUAACAGAAUUAGGCUGCUUGGUUGGUAUCUCUUGAUUAUUCUGGAUUUGGCCUUAUGGUCACGAGAUGAUUGUUCCGGCUCCAGACAUCACGUGGUAGCUUUUAAAGCAAGAAGCGGGGAGGAGGUGGGGUGGCAGGAAGGCCACGCUCUUCUUUUCUCCUUAAUGGGGAAGGACAGCCUUUGCCCCAGCAGACUUCCUCUCCUGGAUCUGCCUGGCUGGAACUGGGUGGUGGUCCAACCAUGGGUUGGAUUGUUUGGCCCACUCGUGGUUUAUUUCUUUAUAUAAGCACAGCUCUCCCGGCCUGGUCAGUUUUGGUUGUCAUUUUGUCCUUUUCUUAUACUGUCAGUAUCUCCGUGUAUGUCUUUAAUCUAGUAAACAUACUUAUUUUUACAUUGUAUGGUUUGUAAUUCGAAGCUAUGCCUUGUUUGUGAGUCUGAGGCUGUAGUUUGUGGUUUUUGCUGAAUCUUAAGUCAUGGUAGUUAUGUUUUAUAGGGGUGUGUGUGUGUGUCUAACCACUGAAUUAACACUGAAUUUUAUUCUUUGGGAAUGCAACUAUAUGUAUGUUUCUGGAGAUUAAACUCAGGAAUUUUUCAGCAAU
Molecule: long non-coding RNA, 3904 nt
Organism: Cavia porcellus (domestic guinea pig)
Lineage: Eukaryota; Metazoa; Chordata; Mammalia; Rodentia; Caviidae
Exons: 2
Source: RefSeq, a predicted model, not a curated record